This 364-nucleotide long non-coding RNA is filed under the name Ursus maritimus (polar bear). Its description in RNAcentral is "lncRNA (ENSUMAG00000019380.1)". The record is from RNAcentral. Lineage: Eukaryota; Metazoa; Chordata; Mammalia; Carnivora; Ursidae.
GGAAGGGUGAGCUGUUGAACCUUAUCUUCUUUGAACCUACCGUUGUUCCCAACAAGGUCUUCUAAAGAAUGAUCGUCGCACUGCUGGCAGCCUGCUGAAUGGUUGAAUCGCCUCCAUCUUCAGACCACGCGAGGGAGAUUGUCCGUGGCGCUAAAGCACUAAUUGAGUGUUGACACUGUGAGCAACCCAAAGGUGACACAUAGCGAUCCCUGCCUCAGCGGCUGCUGCCACAUCACGGGUGACGAGGAGACAGUAAUAACAGGCGUGCGAAGUAAGUGGAAUGUGAAAGUGCUUUACGAGCUCCCAGAGCACUUUCCCACGCAUUACUUCCCGGAGCCUCGCGACAGAGCCGUGAGCAGCUGGA